CCUACGGGUGGCAGCAGUGGGGAAUAUUGCACAAUGGGGGAAACCCUGAUGCAGCGACGCCGCGUGAGUGAAGAAGUAAUUCGUUAUGUAAAGCUCUAUCAGCAGGGGAGAAAAUGCCGGUACCUGAGUACGAAGCCCCGGCUCACUACGUGCCACCAGCCGCGGUAAUACGUAGGGGGCCAGCGUUAUCCGGCUUUACUGGGCGUAAAGGGAGCGUAGACGGCAGUGCAAGUCUGGAGUGAAGGGCGGGGGGUCAACCCCCGGACUGCUCUGGAAACUGUACGGCUGGAGUGCAGGAGAGGUAAGUGGAAUGCGUAGUGUAGCGGUGAAAUGCGUAGAUAUUAGGAGGAACACCAGUGGCGAAGGCGGCUUACUGGACUGUAACUGACGUUGAGGCUCGAAAGCGUGGGGAGCAAACAGGAUUAGAUACCCGAGUAGUC
This 440-nucleotide ribosomal RNA is filed under the name uncultured bacterium. Its description in RNAcentral is "partial 16S ribosomal RNA". It matches the Rfam family "Bacterial small subunit ribosomal RNA", at positions 338 to 795 of the family's 1533-position model. The record is from RNAcentral.